This 60-nucleotide transfer RNA is filed under the name Electrona carlsbergi. RNAcentral describes it as "tRNA-Thr". It matches the Rfam family "tRNA", at positions 1 to 60 of the family's 71-position model. From Rfam's summary of the family: Transfer RNA (tRNA) molecules are approximately 80 nucleotides in length. Their secondary structure includes four short double-helical elements and three loops (D, anti-codon, and T loops). The record is from RNAcentral. Lineage: Eukaryota; Metazoa; Chordata; Actinopteri; Myctophiformes; Myctophidae.
GCCCUUGUAGCUUAAAUCAGAGCAUCAGUCUUGUACACUGAACGGCGGAAGUUUAAAUCU